CGAGGCGUAGCGCAGCCCGGUAGCGCACCUGCUUUGGGAGCAGGGGGUCAGCGGUUCAAAUCCGCUCGCCUCGA
Molecule: transfer RNA, 74 nt
Filed under: Bacteroidota bacterium
Lineage: Bacteria; Pseudomonadati; Bacteroidota
Also listed under: 2 other names
Description: Bacteroidetes bacterium (sediment metagenome) tRNA-Pro
Rfam family: tRNA
About the family: Transfer RNA (tRNA) molecules are approximately 80 nucleotides in length. Their secondary structure includes four short double-helical elements and three loops (D, anti-codon, and T loops).
Source: RNAcentral